This 357-nucleotide long non-coding RNA is filed under the name Homo sapiens (human). RNAcentral describes it as "novel transcript, antisense to GREM2". The record is from RNAcentral. Lineage: Eukaryota; Metazoa; Chordata; Mammalia; Primates; Hominidae.
UCUACACACCUAGCUCUCAACAUUCCUCUCUAAAAUAUAUGACUCUGUUUACUAGUGUAAGGAUCAAAAGGAUCACAUGUGGCUUCCAUGAAAAGAAAGGUAUCUUAAAAUUGUUGUGCAUAAAAUAUACAAUUCAAAGGAAUUACAUAGAGUUAUAAAUAAUAUAGAAAAUAAAAAGAUCAAUGGUCCAUAAGGCGAUGCAAUGAUAAACCACCAAAAAGUCCUGAGAUUCUUUCUAUGCUAGCCACGUAUGAAGAACUCCAAGCCAAACGCUAUUCCUUCGGUUGUAUUUUUCCUUGAAUCUAAAGGACAAAAAUAGGGCCUCACAGUUUGAGAGAAUCAUUCACUUUGUCUAGC